CCUACGGGUGGCAGCAGUGAGGAAUAUUGGUCAAUGGGCGAGAGUCUGAACCAGCCAAGUCGCGUGAAGGAUGACUGACCUAUGGUUUGUAAACUUCUUUUAUAAGGGAAUAAAGCGAGGCACGUGUUCCUUUUUGUAUGUACUUUAUGAAUAAGCAUCGGCUAACUCCGUGCCAGCAGCCGCGGUAAUACGGAGGAUGCGAGCGUUAUCCGGAUUUAUUGGGUUUAAAGGGUGCGUAGAUGGGUACUUAAGUCAGUGGUGAAAGUUUGUGGCUCAACCGUAAAAUUGCCAUUGAUACUGGUUGACUUGAGUAUAUUUGAGGUAGGCGGAAUGCGUGGUGUAGCGGUGAAAUGCAUAGAUAUCACGAAGAACCCCGAUUGCGAAGGCAGCUUACUAAACUAUGACUGACACUGAAGCUCGAAAGUGUGGGUAUCAAACAGGAUUAGAUACCCAUGUAGUC
This 460-nucleotide ribosomal RNA is filed under the name uncultured bacterium. RNAcentral's name for it is "partial 16S ribosomal RNA". It matches the Rfam family "Bacterial small subunit ribosomal RNA", at positions 338 to 795 of the family's 1533-position model. The record is from RNAcentral.